RNAcentral lists this ribosomal RNA (316 nucleotides) under uncultured eukaryote. Its description in RNAcentral is "partial 18S ribosomal RNA". It matches the Rfam family "Eukaryotic small subunit ribosomal RNA", at positions 1470 to 1796 of the family's 1831-position model. The record is from RNAcentral.
CCCUUAGAUGUUCUGGGCUGCACGCGCGCUACACUGAUACUUUCAGCGAGUCCACCACCUUGCCUGAGAGGGUGGGGUAACCUCUGGAAAGUGUAUCGUGAUGGGGAUCGAUUAUUGUAAUUAUUAAUCUUCAACGAGGAAUUCCUAGUAAGCAUGUGUCAUCAGCCCGUGCUGAUUACGUCCCUGCCCUUUGUACACACCGCCCGUCGCUCCUACCGAUUGAAUGGUCCGGUGAAGCCUCCGGAUUGGCGCGCACCUCGGUGCCGCCGAGAAGUUGGCUAAACCUUACCAUUUAGAGGAAGGUGAAGUCGUAACA